AACGAACGCUGGCGGCGUGCCUAACACAUGCAAGUCGAACGCGAACGGGUCUUCGGACCCUAGUAGAGUGGCGCACGGGUGAGUAACACGUGGGCAAUCUACCCAGGGAUUUGGGAUAACCAGGGGAAACCCUGGCUAAUACCGAAUACGUCCAUGAGGCCUUCGGUCCUCAUGGAGAAAGGUGGCCUCUUCUCGAAAGCUGUCGUUCCUGGAUGAGCCCGCGGACCAUUAGCUUGUUGGUGAGGUAACGGCUCACCAAGGCCAUGAUGGUUAGCUGGUCUGAGAGGAUGAUCAGCCACACUGGGACUGACACACGGCCCAGACUCCUACGGGAGGCAGCAGUGGGGAAUCUUGCGCAAUGGGGGAAACCCUGACGCAGCAACGCCGCGUGGGUGAUGAAGGCCCUUGGGUCGUAAAGCCCUGUCUGGAGGAAAGAAUCCCGCUCUCGCUAAUACCGGGAGUGGAUGACGGUACCUCUGAAGGAAGCACCGGCUAACUCCGUG
Molecule: ribosomal RNA, 503 nt
Filed under: uncultured bacterium
Lineage: Bacteria
Description: bacterial SSU rRNA
Rfam family: Bacterial small subunit ribosomal RNA
Source: RNAcentral